GAUGAAGAACGUAGCGAAAUGCGAUAAGUAAUGUGAAUUGCAGAAUUCAGUGAAUCAUCGAAUCUUUGAACGCACAUUGCGCCCGCCAGUAUUCUGGCGGGCAUGCCUGUUCGAGCGUCAUUUCAACCAUCAAGCCCCCGGGCUUGUGUUGGGGACCUGCGGCUGCCGCAGGCCCUGAAAAGCAGUGGCGGGCUCGCUGUUACACCGAGCGUAGUAGAUUUUAUCUCGCUCAGGGCGUGCUGCGGGUUCCGGCCGUUAAACCACCUUCAUAACCCAAGGUUGACCUCGGAUCAGGUAGGAAGACCCGCUGAACUUAAGCAUAUCAAUAAGCGGAGGA
This 337-nucleotide unclassified non-coding RNA is filed under the name soil metagenome. Its description in RNAcentral is "partial contains 5.8S ribosomal RNA, internal transcribed spacer 2, and large subunit ribosomal RNA". The stretch from base 1 to 120 matches the Rfam family "5.8S ribosomal RNA", at positions 35 to 154 of the family's 154-position model. The record is from RNAcentral.